AGAAUGGCCCUUGCUGCCACCAACAUGGAGACUUUGUACUGUGUCCCGUUCUUAGUGCUUGAAUGUCCCAACCUGAAGCUGAAGAAGCCGCCCUGGCUGCACAUGCUGUUGGCCAUGACUAUGUAUGCUCUGGUGGUGGUGUCUUACUUCCUCAUCACCAGAGGAAUCCUUUAUGAUGUUAUUGUUGAACCGCCAGGUGUUGGCUCUGUGACUGAUGAACAAGGGCAUCAGAGGCCAGUAGCUUUCUUGGCCUACAGAGUAAGUGGACAAUAUUAUUAUGGAAGGACUUGGAUCCAGCUUCCUGUUCACAAUGAGAGGUUUAGGUUUCAUAAUCCUGGACCGAUCGAAUGCACCAAAUAUCCCAAAACUCCAUAGAUUUCUUCUUCUAUUUGUUGGAUUCGUCUGUGUCCUAUUGAGUUUUUUUCAUGGCUAGAGUAUUCGUGAGAAUGAAACUGCCGGGCUAUCUAAUGGGUUAGAGUGCCUUUAAGAAGAAAUCAGUGGAUACUGGAUUUGCUCCUGUCAAUGAAGUUUUAAAGCCUGUCCAGUCCUCUAAUAUGAAAUGUAGAAAAGAAGGAAGAGCAGCAGUAAAAGAAAUAUCUAGUGGAAAACCAGGAAGUGUAUUGAAGCUUGGACUAGAAUUUCUUCUUUAUUAAAGAGACAAAUUUAUCACAGUAAUUUUUUUUUCCUGCUGACCAUAUUGCUAUACCAACAAUGAUGAGUGGCAUUUUCUUCUUAGUUU
This is an RNA transcript of Nomascus leucogenys (northern white-cheeked gibbon), 739 nucleotides long. It is a transcript of the gene named oligosaccharyltransferase complex subunit OSTC pseudogene, with no coding region annotated. NCBI's taxonomy places the organism in Eukaryota, Metazoa, Chordata, Mammalia, Primates, Hylobatidae. The record is from RefSeq and is a predicted model, not a curated record. The transcript has a single exon.